Potamilus streckersoni is the source of this 73-nucleotide non-coding RNA. The record is from the annotation of a GenBank genome assembly. Lineage: Eukaryota; Metazoa; Mollusca; Bivalvia; Unionida; Unionidae.
GCUCCGGUGGCUUAGUGGUUAGAGCGUCCGCCUCUGAUGUGGGAGGUCGUGGGUUCGAUCCCUGGUCGGGUCA